Molecule: long non-coding RNA, 787 nt
Organism: Tyto alba (common barn owl)
Lineage: Eukaryota; Metazoa; Chordata; Aves; Strigiformes; Tytonidae
Exons: 4
Source: RefSeq, a predicted model, not a curated record
GUUUCCUAUGUGGAAAAGAUGAUACAAGAUUCUGGAAUAACUGAUCAAUGACAUCAGUGUAUGAUGCCUCAUAUUGUGUCUUCUAAGUGCUCCAGCCUUGACACAUGCAAUUACAGAAAGAUAAUGAAACAAUUUUGGAUAACAAUCUACAAAAGGACCAUACCCUGGCAGCCUUCUGCUUUACCAGCUUGUUGAAAUUAAUCACCUUUCUCCUAAUGCACUGUGAAACAAUUUCCACCAGGAAAUGAGAGUUGACCAGUUCUUAGCUACUAGUAAAUUUGAAUUAACGUGGAACAAUUUAUGCUAUGUGAAACACAUGCUUUAUACUUGUGGCAAAUUCAUUACUUACCUUCAAAAUCUUGAAAAAUCACCUCUGUACUGGGAUAAACUGAUUGUUAAUACUGCUCCAGUUUGCUACAGUUAGAUCAUCUUUGAAAUGAAGGUGCUUUUCCCCAAAGGAGGCAGAAAUUAAAUUUCACUUCUUUUCUGGAUGUCCAGCAUAUGAAGUUUGGUUCAUAAAAAAACCUUUCUCAAGCAUCUCUUAAAUUACUAAUUAAAUUGCCUCUCUUCUGAGUAAAUGAUUUCUGAGAUCUUUAAAAUGUCUCCGUUAAAGCUUAGUGUUAGGGUAGUCUUGAUCCACUGAGUUACAUGCUAGCACACUUUUAUUAGAAUAGAUGCUCACAGCUAAUGACCCAGUCCAAGAAGGAGUUGGUGUGGGAGCUGGAUACUCCACUACCAUGACCAGUCUGCUUCAUGCAGUAUAGUCUUUCCCAGCCAGACAAAAAUA